GCCAUAUCAUUUUGAAACACCAGUUCCUGUAUGAUCAGCAAAGUUAAGCCUUGUCAAAUCUGGUUAGUACUUAGAUGGGUGACCCCUUGGGAAUACCAGGUGAGGUA
Acanthosepion pharaonis is the source of this 107-nucleotide non-coding RNA. The record is from the annotation of a GenBank genome assembly. NCBI's taxonomy places the organism in Eukaryota, Metazoa, Mollusca, Cephalopoda, Sepiida, Sepiidae.